Molecule: ribosomal RNA, 342 nt
Filed under: bacterium L9(2011b)
Lineage: Bacteria
Description: bacterial SSU rRNA
Rfam family: Bacterial small subunit ribosomal RNA
Source: RNAcentral
AAUGACAGGUGGUGCAUGGUUGUCGUCAGCUCGUGUCGUGAGAUGUUGGGUUAAGUCCCGCAACGAGCGCAACCCUUAUUACUAGGUUGCCAGCAUUAAGUUGGGCACUCUAGUGAGACUGCCGGUGACAAACCGGAGGAAGGUGGGGACGACGUCAAAUCAUCAUGCCCCUUAUGACCUGGGCUACACACGUGCUACAAUGGAUGGUACAACGAGUCGCGAGACCGCGAGGUUAAGCUAAUCUCUUAAAACCAUUCUCAGUUCGGACUGUAGGCUGCAACUCGCCUACACGAAGUCGGAAUCGCUAGUAAUCGCGGAUCAGCAUGCCGCGGUGAAUACGUU